UACGAAGGGUGCAAACGUUGCUCGGAAUUGAUUGGGCGAUAAAGCGCACGUAGGCGGCUUAGCAAGUCGGAUGUGAAAUCCCUCGGCUCAACCAAGGAAGUGCAUCCGAAACUGCUGUACUUGAGUACGAAAGAGGAUCGCGGAAUUCCCGGUGUAGAGGUGAAAUUCGUAGAUAUCGGGAGGAACACCAGUGGCGAAGGCGGCGAUCUGGGUCGAUACUGACGCUGAGGUGCGAAAGCGUGGGGAGCAAACAGG
RNAcentral lists this ribosomal RNA (255 nucleotides) under uncultured bacterium. RNAcentral describes it as "partial 16S ribosomal RNA". It matches the Rfam family "Bacterial small subunit ribosomal RNA", at positions 524 to 776 of the family's 1533-position model. The record is from RNAcentral.